CUCCUUCAGAAGUUCGUAUUUCGAUAGAAUAAGCCCUCUUUCAUUUCUGAAAAUGAAAAUUGAGUUAACAACUGAAUCUAUCCACAAGACAGGAUCUGAAUGAAGAAUUGGAUGCACUCUUUUGUAUAACCAGGAUUCGAGUUUGGGGUUUUCGAUUAAUCGAUUAAUGGAAUCGUUGCUGGAAACGAGGAAUCUUUGAAUUAAGAGUUGGACGCAUUCACUCUUUCUAAUCAGAGCUUGCUUUCUGAAAGGCACGCAUGUUCAUCUCCAUCUGCAUCUUGCUGUGAUUUGUAAGCUUGCCUGAUUUCAACCAUCCCAGGCAUCACCUCUUCAUCCAAGGCUCCAUAUAACCUUUGUCUUCUCUUCAGUGUUGGU
Papaver somniferum (opium poppy) is the source of this 375-nucleotide long non-coding RNA. RefSeq lists it as uncharacterized. The transcript has 3 exons. NCBI's taxonomy places the organism in Eukaryota, Viridiplantae, Streptophyta, Magnoliopsida, Ranunculales, Papaveraceae. The record is from RefSeq and is a predicted model, not a curated record.